AUGCACAUUUUCUUUCCACAUCCAGACACCAGAGGGCAGGUUGUGGUGACUCAGUCUCCAGAGACUCUCUCAGUCCUCCCAGGAGAAACUGUUACUAUCAAAUGCCAGUCUGAUACAGACAUUGAUGAUGACAUGAACUGGUACCAGCAGAAAUCCGGAGCUGCUCCUAAGCUCCUUCUCUCUGAAGGUUCUAGUCGCCAAACGGGAGUCCCAGCCCGGUUCAGCAGCAGUGGCUAUGGGACAGAUUUCACUUUCACCAUCAGCAGUGUCGAAAAUGAUGAUGCUGGAGAUUAUUACUGUCAGCAAAGUGAUCGUACCCCACUCACAGUGAUUCAGACCAAUACAAAAACCUCUCCCGGCUGCACAGUAUGUUCUGCCCGGGCCAUCUGUUCUACAGCAGUUACAUAG
Non-coding RNA from Mauremys mutica (yellowpond turtle), 408 nucleotides. NCBI's taxonomy places the organism in Eukaryota, Metazoa, Chordata, Testudines, Geoemydidae. The record is from the annotation of a RefSeq genome assembly.